CAGUAGCCGCGGGAAUACGAAGGGGGCUAGCGUUGUUCGGAAUUACUGGGCGUAAAGCGCACGUAGGCGGAUAUUUAAGUCAGGGGUGAAAUCCCAGAGCUCAACUCUGGAACUGCCUUUGAUACUGGGUAUCUUGAGUAUGGAAGAGGUAAGUGGAAUUCCGAGUGUAGAGGUGAAAUUCGUAGAUAUUCGGAGGAACACCAGUGGCGAAGGCGGCUUACUGGUCCAUUACUGACGCUGAGGUGCGAAAGCGUGGGGAGCAAACAGGAUUAGAUACCCCCGUAGUCCCUGUCUCUUAUAC
RNAcentral lists this ribosomal RNA (301 nucleotides) under uncultured bacterium. Its description in RNAcentral is "partial 16S ribosomal RNA". It matches the Rfam family "Bacterial small subunit ribosomal RNA", at positions 509 to 807 of the family's 1533-position model. The record is from RNAcentral.